AGGAGAGUUUGAUCCUGGCUCAGGAUGAACGCUAGCUACAGGCUUAACACAUGCAAGUCGAGGGGCAGCAUGGGAGUUGCUUGCAAUUCCCGAUGGCGACCGGCGCACGGGUGAGUAACGCGUAUCCAACCUUCCCGUCACUCAGGGAUAGCCCGCCGAAAGGCGAAUUAAUACCUGAUGAUCUCCUUUGCGGACAUCUAAUGAGGAGUAAAGGUUUUUCCGGUGACGGAUGGGGAUGCGUCUGAUUAGGUUGUUGGCGGGGUAACGGCCCACCAAGCCAUCGAUCAGUAGGGGUUCUGAGAGGAAGGUCCCCCACAUUGGAACUGAGACACGGUCCAAACUCCUACGGGAGGCAGCAGUGAGGAAUAUUGGUCAAUGGGCGAGAGCCUGAACCAGCCAAGUAGCGUGGAGGAUGACGGCCCUACGGGUUGUAAACUCCUUUUAUCAGGGGAUAAAGUCCACUACGUGUAGUGGUUUGCAGGUACCUGAUGAAUAAGGACCGGCUAAUUCCGUGCCAGCAGCCGCGGUAAUACGGAAGGUCCGGGCGUUAUCCGGAUUUAUUGGGUUUAAAGGGAGCGCAGACGGGCUGUUAAGCGUGACGUGAAAUCCGGGGGCUCAACCUUCGGCUGCGUCGCGAACUGGCGGCCUUGAGUGGACGGUAGGCAGGCGGAAUUCGUGGUGUAGCGGUGAAAUGCUUAGAUAUCACGAAGAACCCCGAUUGCGAAGGCAGCUUGCCGCAGUCUUACUGACGUUCAUGCUCGAAGGUGCGGGUAUCGAACAGGAUUAGAUACCCUGGUAGUCCCCU
This 805-nucleotide ribosomal RNA is filed under the name uncultured Bacteroidota bacterium. Its description in RNAcentral is "bacterial SSU rRNA". It matches the Rfam family "Bacterial small subunit ribosomal RNA", at positions 1 to 799 of the family's 1533-position model. Lineage: Bacteria; Pseudomonadati; Bacteroidota. The record is from RNAcentral.